UGAUGAUGAUGAUGAGGAUGAGGAUGAUGAGGAUGAGGAUGAGCACCUUUGACUAUCAAUAUAUUGAACACCACCCUUUCUGUUUUCGUCUUCCUCCUUCUCCUCCUCCUUCUAA
Molecule: microRNA precursor, 115 nt
Filed under: Bigelowiella natans CCMP2755
Lineage: Eukaryota; Cercozoa; Chlorarachniophyceae
Description: miRNA EPrBNAG00000013353
Source: RNAcentral